Molecule: non-coding RNA, 134 nt
Organism: Brugia malayi
Lineage: Eukaryota; Metazoa; Nematoda; Chromadorea; Rhabditida; Onchocercidae
Source: RefSeq, a predicted model, not a curated record
UGAUGCUAGGUGAGCUGGCCAGUUAAGUGAAUGCUUUGCCACAGUCUUAGAAAUUGAUUAAGCUGGGCUAAGGUUCACUUAGGCUGGACGCUAUAACCGCAGAGCAAACAUCCCUUACUCAUGCCUGCAAGUGC